GGGCCGAAGGCGACUCUCUGGUCUGUAACUGACGCUGAGGAGCGAAAGCGUGGGGAGCGAACAGGAUUAGAUACCCUGGUAGUCCACGCCGUAAACGAUGAGUGCUAAGUGUUAGGGGGUUUCCGCCCCUUAGUGCUGCAGCUAACGCAUUAAGCACUCCGCCUGGGGAGUACGGUCGCAAGACUGAAACUCAAAGGAAUUGACGGGGGCCCGCACAAGCGGUGGAGCAUGUGGUUUAAUUCGAAGCAACGCGAAGAACCUUACCAGGUCUUGACAUCCUCUGACAAUCCUAGAGAUAGGACGUCCCCUUCGGGGGCAGAGUGACAGGUGGUGCAUGGUUGUCGUCAGCUCGUGUCGUGAGAUGUUGGGUUAAGUCCCGCAACGAGCGCAACCCUUGAUCUUAGUUGCCAGCAUUCAGUUGGGCACUCUAAGGUGACUGCCGGUGACAAACCGGAGGAAGGUGGGGAUGACGUCAAAUCAUCAUGCCCCUUAUGACCUGGGCUACACACGUGCUACAAUGGACAGAACAAAGGGCAGCGAAACCGCGAGGUUAAGCCAAUCCCACAAAUCUGUUCUCAGUUCGGAUCGCAGUCUGCAACUCGACUGCGUGAAGCUGGAAUCGCUAGUAAUCGCGGAUCAGCAUGCCGCGGGUGAAUACGUUUCCCGGGGCCUUGUACACACCGCCCGUCACACCACGAAGAGUUACCAG
This 709-nucleotide ribosomal RNA is filed under the name Bacillus subtilis. RNAcentral's name for it is "bacterial SSU rRNA". It matches the Rfam family "Bacterial small subunit ribosomal RNA", at positions 713 to 1418 of the family's 1533-position model. RNAcentral also lists the same sequence under 1 other name. Lineage: Bacteria; Bacillati; Bacillota; Bacilli; Caryophanales; Bacillaceae. The record is from RNAcentral.